AGCCUUUUGAAUUUAUAGAAGGUGAGUUCUGCCCAGUGAAAAUUUUAACGGCCGCGGUAUCUUGACCGUGCAAAGGUAGCAUAAUCAUUUGCCUCUUAAUUAGAGGCUGGAAUGAAUGGAUAUACGAGGUUUUAGCUGUCUCAUUUUUAAUAAUAAAAAUUAGUGUCUAGGUGAAGAAACCUAGAUUUUGAUGAAGGACAAAAAGACCCUAUUGAGCUUUAUUUUAACGUAAGAUUUUUGACUAACUUACUUUAUAAUGCUGAUAAAUUUGGUUGGGGCAACAAAGAAAUAUAAGUAUUUUUCUUUAAUAUUGAGAAAUAUGUUUCAUUUAUUAGAUCUAUAUUUAUGAUAAGAAGAAAGAGUUACCAUAGGGAUAACAGGCUAAUUCUUUUGUAGAGUUCAAAUUGAUAAAGGAGUUUGGCACCUCGAUGUUGGCUUAGGGUAUCCUAUAGGUGCAGAAGUCUAUAAGGGUUGGUUUGUUCAACCAUUAAAACCCU
This 497-nucleotide ribosomal RNA is filed under the name Paranaitis sp. AN-2008. Its description in RNAcentral is "partial 16S ribosomal RNA". It matches the Rfam family "Bacterial large subunit ribosomal RNA", at positions 1817 to 2597 of the family's 2925-position model. The record is from RNAcentral. Lineage: Eukaryota; Metazoa; Annelida; Polychaeta; Phyllodocida; Phyllodocidae.